RNAcentral lists this ribosomal RNA (253 nucleotides) under uncultured bacterium. Its description in RNAcentral is "partial 16S ribosomal RNA". It matches the Rfam family "Bacterial small subunit ribosomal RNA", at positions 524 to 776 of the family's 1533-position model. The record is from RNAcentral.
UACGUAGGGGGCAAGCGUUGUCCGGAUUUAUUGGGCGUAAAGAGCGUGUAGGCGGCCAGGUAGGUCCGUUGUGAAAACUCGAGGCUCAACCUCGAGACGUCGGCGGAAACCCUCUGGCUAGAGUCCGGAAGAGGAGAGUGGAAUUCCUGGUGUAGCGGUGAAAUGCGCAGAUAUCAGGAAGAACACCCGUGGCUAAGGCGGCUCUCUAGUACGGUACUGACGCUGAGACGCGAAAGCGUGGGGAGCGAACAGG